Molecule: ribosomal RNA, 584 nt
Filed under: uncultured bacterium
Lineage: Bacteria
Description: bacterial SSU rRNA
Rfam family: Bacterial small subunit ribosomal RNA
Source: RNAcentral
ACGGGUGAGUAAUACUUAGGAAUCUGCCUAUUAAUGGGGGACAACAUCUCGAAAGGGAUGCUAAUACCGCAUACGCCCUACGGGGGAAAGCAGGGGAUCACUUGUGACCUUGCGUUAAUAGAUGAGCCUAAGUCGGAUUAGCUAGUUGGUGGGGUAAAGGCCUACCAAGGCGACGAUCUGUAGCGGGUCUGAGAGGAUGAUCCGCCACACUGGGACUGAGACACGGCCCAGACUCCUACGGGAGGCAGCAGUGGGGAAUAUUGGACAAUGGGGGGAACCCUGAUCCAGCCAUGCCGCGUGUGUGAAGAAGGCCUUAUGGUUGUAAAGCACUUUAAGCGAGGAGGAGGCUCUUCUAGUUAAUACCUAGGAUGAGUGGACGUUACUCGCAGAAUAAGCACCGGCUAACUCUGUGCCAGCAGCCGCGGUAAUACAGAGGGUGCGAGCGUUAAUCGGAUUUACUGGGCGUAAAGCGUGCGUAGGCGGCUUUUUAAGUCGGAUGUGAAAUCCCCGAGCUUAACUUGGGAAUUGCAUUCGAUACUGGGAAGCUAGAGUAUGGGAGAGGAUGGUAGAAUUCCAGGUGUAGC